AUUUGGUGAUGAAGUUAAGAUGCACAUAACUUCUUGAAUCUCUCCUAAUACUCAUACAAAAUCUCUCCAUUUUACUGCCGAAUACCAUAUAUUUCUUUUCUAAUGCU
This 107-nucleotide small nucleolar RNA is filed under the name Macleaya cordata. RNAcentral's name for it is "Plant small nucleolar RNA R71". It matches the Rfam family "Plant small nucleolar RNA R71". Rfam says of the family: R71 is a member of the C/D box family of snoRNAs containing the C (UGAUGA) and D (CUGA) box motifs. Multiple nearly identical copies of this snoRNA have been identified in Arabidopsis, and it is thought to function as a 2'-O-ribose methylation guide for 18S ribosomal RNA. The record is from Rfam by way of RNAcentral. Lineage: Eukaryota; Viridiplantae; Streptophyta; Magnoliopsida; Ranunculales; Papaveraceae.